This is a small nucleolar RNA of Sorex araneus (European shrew), 133 nucleotides long. RefSeq annotates it as U8 small nucleolar RNA. The record is from RefSeq and is a predicted model, not a curated record. NCBI's taxonomy places the organism in Eukaryota, Metazoa, Chordata, Mammalia, Eulipotyphla, Soricidae. The transcript has a single exon.
UCGUCAGGUAGGCUAACCCUUACCUGUUCCUCCAUUCAGGGGGCAGAUAGUACACACGACUAGAGUCCACAUGAUUCAUGAUUAACGUCUCUGCGUGAUUGGGCUCUCAGCACCCUAGUCGCUCCUGUCUGAU